UGGAUGUCAAGGUUCUGGCAGUACGUAAA
This 29-nucleotide non-coding RNA is filed under the name Rattus norvegicus (Norway rat). The record is from RNAcentral. Lineage: Eukaryota; Metazoa; Chordata; Mammalia; Rodentia; Muridae.